RNAcentral lists this ribosomal RNA (383 nucleotides) under Salmonella enterica. RNAcentral describes it as "partial 16S ribosomal RNA". It matches the Rfam family "Bacterial small subunit ribosomal RNA", at positions 720 to 1102 of the family's 1533-position model. The record is from RNAcentral. RNAcentral also lists the same sequence under 1 other name. Lineage: Bacteria; Pseudomonadati; Pseudomonadota; Gammaproteobacteria; Enterobacterales; Enterobacteriaceae.
GGCGGCCCCCUGGACAAAGACUGACGCUCAGGUGCGAAAGCGUGGGGAGCAAACAGGAUUAGAUACCCUGGUAGUCCACGCCGUAAACGAUGUCUACUUGGAGGUUGUGCCCUUGAGGCGUGGCUUCCGGAGCUAACGCGUUAAGUAGACCGCCUGGGGAGUACGGCCGCAAGGUUAAAACUCAAAUGAAUUGACGGGGGCCCGCACAAGCGGUGGAGCAUGUGGUUUAAUUCGAUGCAACGCGAAGAACCUUACCUGGUCUUGACAUCCACAGAACUUUCCAGAGAUGGAUUGGUGCCUUCGGGAACUGUGAGACAGGUGCUGCAUGGCUGUCGUCAGCUCGUGUUGUGAAAUGUUGGGUUAAGUCCCGCAACGAGCGCAAC